Molecule: ribosomal RNA, 480 nt
Filed under: uncultured bacterium
Lineage: Bacteria
Description: partial 16S ribosomal RNA
Rfam family: Bacterial small subunit ribosomal RNA
Source: RNAcentral
GACGAACGCUGGCGGCGCGCCUAACACAUGCAAGUCGAGCGAUGAAAUUUUAACCGCUCUCUUCGGAGAGAAGAUAAAAUGGAUUAGCGGCGGACGGGUGAGUAACACGUGAGAAACCUGCCUUUCACAAGGGGAUAGCCUCGGGAAACCGGGAUUAAUACCCUAUGACACAUUUCCUUCGCAUGGAAGAAAUGUUAAAACUCCGGUGGUGAAAGAUGGUCUCGCGCCUGAUUAGCUAGUUGGUGGGGUAACGGCCCACCAAGGCCAUGAUCAGUAACCGGGCUGAGAGGGUGAACGGUCACAAUGGAACUGAGACACGGUCCAAACUCCUACGGGAGGGAGCAGUGGGGAAUAUUGCACAAUGGAGGAAAAUCUGAUGCAGCGACGCCGCGUGAGCGAUGAAGGCUUUCGAGUCGUAAAGCUCUGUCCUAUGGGAAGAUAAUGACGGUACCAUAGGAGGAAGCCCCGGCUAACUACGUG